UACGGGGGGGGCAAGCGUUGUUCGGAAUUACUGGGCGUAAAGGGCUCGUAGGCGGCCAACUAAGUCCGACGUGAAAUCCCCAGGCUUAACCUGGGAACUGCGUCGGAUACUGGAUGGCUUGAAUUCGGGAGAGGGAUGCAGAAUUCCAGGUGUAGCGGUGAAAUGCGUAGAUAUCUGGAGGAAUACCGGUGGCGAAGGCGGCAUCCUGGACCGACAUUGACGCUGAUGAGCGAAAGCGUGGGGAGCGAUCCGG
This 253-nucleotide ribosomal RNA is filed under the name uncultured bacterium. RNAcentral's name for it is "partial 16S ribosomal RNA". It matches the Rfam family "Bacterial small subunit ribosomal RNA", at positions 524 to 776 of the family's 1533-position model. The record is from RNAcentral.